UUUAUUUAUUUGUGAACUAAUAAAUAUAUGUAACCUAUAAGGUUACAUAUAUUUACACACACACACAUACAUACUACAUAGGUGAGUAUUUGUGUUUGUCCUCUACUUGAUAACUGGUGUUGAUUUGCUUUCAUCCCCAUAACAACAGUUUUGCGACUGAUAGGAUGAGAAUACAAAACACUGGGGUGCCCAACAUGUCUGCAGUCCCAUGACUGAAACCGAAGAGAAAAAAAGCUGCUACUUGAAAAACUCUAAAUAUCUAACAUUUAUUUAGUAAUAAUUCCAUCAUUACCUUAGUAGGUAUAAUGAAGGCUGUGCUUCAUUGAUGAGUUUACAAUGAUACAGAAACCUGUUUGAAAUUGUUUCCAGUUAGCUUUUUAAUCUCUCUGUAUUAAAUAUUUUAAAUCAACAAUAUAUGCCUGUCAUUGACUGGAUAUAAAACAGUAAAAACCUUCAUUUAAUUCUUUACACACACACAAGGGCAGUUCUGUGGGAAGGAAACAUUUAACCGGAUUAAUACUGGUAAACUAUUGGUAUUUGUUCUCCAGAAUGUCUGGUAAAUUAACUCUCGUAGGAUUUGAACUUGGAAUGAAGAGAGACCCUUAUGUUCAGUGUUCUGUCAACUACUCAUUUAAUAUCAGUACAUUUAUUUGAAGUUUAUUUCAUAUGAAUUGACUGCUAAAAAGUUUUUUUUUUUUAUGUAAAACAAUUUUUAGAUUAGAUAGUAUAAAUCACCUGUCUGAGAUAGAAAAGAGAAACAAGCCUACAUGUGGUACUCAAACCAUGUAUGUAUCAUUCCCUAAUAUUUGGAGUUAAACUUAUGGUAGUAGGCUGGCAGAAUUUUUAGCACACCAGGUAAAUUGCUUAGAAACAUUUCAUCACUCCUCAGGUUCUGAGUUCAAAUUCUGCCAAAGUCAACUAUGCCUUUCAUCCUUUCAGGGUCAAUAAAAUCAGUACCAGUUGAGCACUGAGGUUGAUGAAAUCGACUUACCCCCUUCCUUGAAACUGCUGACCUUGUACCAAAAUUUGAAGCCAAUAUUUGGAGUUAAACCUCUCCUGCUCUGCUAAGUAAUUGAUUAUCUCUUAGAGAUAAAAAUAUAACAGUUAAGUGGGGAGGGGAAUGUUAAGUACCUAAACUGAAAGUGAAGGAUUGACAGGCUUUCUGUUGUGUGGAAUCAGUAAUGUGGUUGGAAUUGUAUCAAUAGGUUUGCGUGUCGAGGAAUGAUAAAUGCAGUCUUAAUUGGUAAAAUUAAACUGGCAAUUUUUUUAAAAUAUCAGUUUGCCAGUAUCUUUCCACAUGGUUGGAAGAAAUAAAAAAAAUUGUAAAAUGUUUACAAAUUCA
Octopus bimaculoides (California two-spot octopus) is the source of this 1342-nucleotide long non-coding RNA. The record is from RefSeq and is a predicted model, not a curated record. Lineage: Eukaryota; Metazoa; Mollusca; Cephalopoda; Octopoda; Octopodidae.